This 1453-nucleotide ribosomal RNA is filed under the name Salmonella enterica subsp. enterica serovar Derby. RNAcentral describes it as "partial 23S ribosomal RNA". It matches the Rfam family "Bacterial large subunit ribosomal RNA", at positions 498 to 2162 of the family's 2925-position model. The record is from RNAcentral. Lineage: Bacteria; Pseudomonadati; Pseudomonadota; Gammaproteobacteria; Enterobacterales; Enterobacteriaceae.
GUACCGUGAGGGAAAGGCGAAAAGAACCCCGGCGAGGGGAGUGAAAAAGAACCUGAAACCGUGUACGUACAAGCAGUGGGAGCACAGGUUUACCUGUGUGACUGCGUACCUUUUGUAUAAUGGGUCAGCGACUUAUAUUCUGUAGCAAGGUUAACCGUAUAGGGGAGCCGCNNAGGGAAACCGAGUCUUAAUUGGGCGUUAAGUUGCAGGGUAUAGACCCGAAACCCGGUGAUCUAGCCAUGGGCAGGUUGAAGGUUGGGUAACACUAACUGGAGGACCGAACCGACUAAUGUUGAAAAAUUAGCGGAUGACCUGUGGCUGGGGGUGAAAGGCCAAUCAAACCGGGAGAUAGCUGGUUCUCCCCGAAAGCUAUUUAGGUAGCGCCUCGUGAAUUCAUCUCCGGGGGUAGAGCACUGUUUCGGCUAGGGGGCCAUCCCGGCUUACCAACCCGAUGCAAACUGCGAAUACCGGAGAAUGUUAUCACGGGAGACACACGGCGGGUGCUAACGUCCGUCGUGAAGAGGGAAACAACCCAGACCGCCAGCUAAGGUCCCAAAGUCAUGGUUAAGUGGGAAACGAUGUGGGAAGGCCCAGACAGCCAGGAUGUUGGCUUAGAAGCAGCCAUCAUUUAAANNNNNNNNNNNNNNNNNNNNNNNNNNNNUGCUGGAGGUAUCAGAAGUGCGAAUGCUGACAUAAGUAACGAUAAAGCGGGUGAAAAGCCCGCUCGCCGGAAGACCAAGGGUUCCUGUCCAACGUUAAUCGGGGCAGGGUGAGUCGACCCCUAAGGCGAGGCCGAAAGGCGUAGUCGAUGGGAAACGGGUUAAUAUNCUGAGGCGUGAUGACGAGGCACUACGGUGCUGAAGCAACAAAUGCCCUGCUUCCAGGAAAAGCCUCUAAGCAUCAGGUAACAUCAAAUCGUACCCCAAACCGACACAGGUGGUCAGGUAGAGAAUACCAAGGCGCUUGAGAGAACUCGGGUGAAGGAACUAGGCAAAAUGGUGCCGUAACUUCGGGAGAAGGCACGCUGACAUGUAGGUGAAGUGAUUUACUCAUGGAGCUGAAGUCAGUCGAAGAUACCAGCUGGCUGCAACUGUUUAUUAAAAACACAGCACUGUGCAAACACGAAAGUGGACGUAUACGGUGUGACGCCUGCCCGGUGCCGGAAGGUUAAUUGAUGGGGUCAGCGCAAGCGAAGCUCCUGAUCGAAGCCCCGGUAAACGGCGGCCGUAACUAUAACGGUCCUAAGGUAGCGAAAUUCCUUGUCGGGUAAGUUCCGACCUGCACGAAUGGCGUAAUGAUGGCCAGGCUGUCUCCACCCGAGACUCAGUGAAAUUGAACUCGCUGUGAAGAUGCAGUGUACCCGCGGCAAGACGGAAAGACCCCGUGAACCUUUACUAUAGCUUGACACUGAACAUUGAGCCUUGAUGUGUAGGAUAGGUGGGAGGCUUUGAAG